Long non-coding RNA from Hippocampus comes (tiger tail seahorse), 591 nucleotides. RefSeq lists it as uncharacterized. Lineage: Eukaryota; Metazoa; Chordata; Actinopteri; Syngnathiformes; Syngnathidae. The record is from RefSeq and is a predicted model, not a curated record. The transcript is spliced from 2 exons.
AUGGACUAUGGAUGGAUGGAUGGACAAACACCUCGCUAGCUAGACUGCCAUGUGGCAUCCAUCCACCUGUCCCUCCAUCUCUUCAUCUGUCUUUCCAUCCAUCAUUCAUCACUCUAUUAUCCAUCUCUGUAUCCAUCUAUAAUAUUUAUCCAUCCAUCCAGAAAUGGCUCGCAACCAUUUUUAAAUUUGUGUAACAAGUCUUGCGGUCAAUCUGUCUGUCACCUGUCAAUUGAUUAUCCAUCAUCAUCUUUCCAUCCAUCCAUCAGGCAUGCAUGUUUUUGAAUGUGGGAGCACCUGGAGAAAAUCUAUGCGAGCAACGGGAGAAAACAGCAAGCCCCACACAAUCAGCAUGCCGGAGCACAGAUUCGAACCCAGAACCUCAGGACGCUGGGGCACACGUGUGGGGCCACGAGGCACCCUGCUUGUAACCAAAAGCGCAAACAAAUGCUGGAGGGAUGGAUCAUACAGCUCAUUAGUGGCAUCUGUGCAAGUGUGCAUGUGUUGCAAGGCCAAACCCAGUCCCGACUGUUCCUGUGGGCUGCAGCCGUGUGAGGGAAAAAAAAAAAGAAAAACGGCUCCAGUGAAUCACUG